UAAAAAAAUACUGGUGGUGCAGUAUUCUAGUCAGAAACAGGUGCGAAGAAGACGGGGUUAAAAUAUCGUCGAAGGGCAUAUCGAUGAAGUUUCUUGUGCUGGCUUCCGUUGCCCAAACGGGGGCUUGUGCUGGAAGUUAAGAUUGCUGGGUAAGACGUAAUGGCAUACGUGUGAUCCCCAACAGUCGUGGAGACUCUACAGGGUGGUUGUACGCUACGGAGCGCAACUACUCUCUGAGAUUAAACCUGCUAUGCGGCAUCAAAGCUGUGUACAGAGUAGCUUGUUUUGAGUGAAGUUUUGGGAGUAAUGAACGGCGUUUGCUUUGUUGGCCGACAACAACCGUCCGAAUGCUUUAUGAAAUGAAUUUUGCAAAAGAAACUAAGCGUAGUUGUUUCUGCAAAGGAAAUCUUCUAGACUGCAAUUCAGGUAAGUCGGGGAUUAUAGUACGGUCUGAGUGGCGAUUCAGUUAAGCGUGUGGCGACACCGCUUGUGCGAAAUGAAAAGGAAACUGCUCUUUCGGCGACGAGGAGUUUUUGCACGGGAAAUCCUACUGAACCUAUGCCGUAAGGUUUAUCCGACUUAUCACCACCUUAUUUUUUUU
Molecule: small RNA, 601 nt
Filed under: chicken gut metagenome
Source: RNAcentral